CCCUGAUAUCAGACCUAUCCCCCUCCCUAAUGUCACCCCUGAUAUCAGAUCUAUCCCCUCCCUAAUGUCACCCCUGAUAUCAGUGGUGGGAGACAGUGUGUGAUUGGCUACUAUACUGUUGACAGAGGUUGGUGGGAGACGGUGUGUGAUUGGCUACUAUACUGUUGACAGAGGUUGGUGGGAGACGGUGUGUGAUUGGCUACUAUACUGUUGACAGAGUUUGGUGGGAGACGGUGUGUGAUUGGCUACUAUACUGUUGACAGAGUUUGGUGGGAGACGGUGUGUGAUUGGCUACUAUACUGUUGACAGAGGUUGGUGGGAGAUGGUGUGUGAUUGGCUACUAUACUGUUGACAGAGGUUGGUGGGAGAUGGUGUGUGAUUGGCUACUAUACUGUUGACAGAGGUGGGUGGGGGAUGGUGUGUGAUUGGCUACUAUACUGUUGACAGAGGUGGGUGGGAGACGGUGUGUGAUUGGCUACUAUACUGUUGACAGAGGUGGGUGGGGGAUGGUGUGUGAUUGGCUACUAUACUGUUGAUCCACUUCCAACACUUGUUUUGUCUUGGAACGAACAGACAACAGGACAUCUGGAACGAACAGACAGGGUGUUCCGCUCUCAUGCUCGGGGGUGCAUUCUCCGACCACGUUCUCUUGAGUACGUUCAUGUGAGGACAAAGUGUGGAGAAUGUAAAAAAACAAACAUUCAAUUUGAGAAGCAUUCCCCUCUUGUGUAUUACCCCACGCUGAGCAGCACUCCCCUACUGUAUUACCCCACGCUGAGCAGCACUCCCCUACUGUAUUACCUCACACUGAGCAGCACUCCCCCUACUGUAUUACCCCACGCUGAGCAGCACUCCCCUACUGUAUUACCUCAGCAC
This is a long non-coding RNA of Oncorhynchus tshawytscha (Chinook salmon), 876 nucleotides long. The record is from Ensembl. NCBI's taxonomy places the organism in Eukaryota, Metazoa, Chordata, Actinopteri, Salmoniformes, Salmonidae.